Molecule: long non-coding RNA, 2240 nt
Organism: Zingiber officinale
Lineage: Eukaryota; Viridiplantae; Streptophyta; Magnoliopsida; Zingiberales; Zingiberaceae
Exons: 2
Source: RefSeq, a predicted model, not a curated record
UCCUCCUUAGAUCUCCCUGUCCCUCAAUCCACCCAUGCCUGAUCAGUUUCUUCCUCAUCUGCUCAACUUUACUUCCCAUCACCUGCCCUUGCGUCGCUUUCACUUCUUUUUUUUCUUUCACUCCCAUCUGUUAAUUUAUAUGUACACCUAGCUCUCUCUUCCUCCUCUAGUUUUUAAUUUAGCCUUUUGAGACCCCUCCGCCUUCUCUCCUCCAUCCUUCUGCAGCCAAACAAAAAAAAAACAAACAUAUCUCUCCAUGUUAAUCACACCUCCUCUGAGUUUGUUUUGCUUGUCUUCUCGGCUCGCCUCUGAUUUCUUUCAUCUCCUCCAUCUUUGAUAAUCUUGCUGAUGAUUUUUAUGCGUUUUAAUGGGUCUUUUUUCUUUUUUGGCCUUGCAAGUGAUGGUGUAUUCACGUUUGCAGCUUGUUACUUCAUAGUUUCUUAUUAUGUGAUUACUUUUCCAUUUCUCCUUGCCUUGAUGUCGUGCAGUUUGUGAAGAGCAUGAGCUAGGGUUUCAGUGGUGGAGACUGGGAACUGAAGAACUUCUGCAAUACAAACCCUGUGAGAUCGUCUACUUGUGUUUAAUUCUUCAGAUUUUGGGCAGUGGUCUCUAUAAACACUAGUCUUAACAGUUAUUGAAUGGUUACGCAUGAGAGAGCUUCCUUCAGUCCACUCAUGGAUGGUUAUGGAGUUUGAAUCAGCUGCCGACUCAUUCAUUCAAACACUCAGUGGAUGAUAAGCAACAGUUCUGAUUUAAUUCUGAAGAAGAAGAAGAAAAGGAAGAAGAGCUUCGGAUUGCAGCUACUAUGUGAAUGAUUGAAUGAAGCGGGAGACUAUUCUCACUCAAUCUUUUCCUUGCUUGGACUGAAGGGAGCUCCCUCUUUCUCAUCUUUUAAGCAUAUACACUAAUUAAUGUUAUAUUUCUAGCCUGAAGUGUGAACAUUUAUAAUCCGAGAGAGAGAUACAAAAUUGAAUCAAAAUAUAGCUUAGUAAUUUACUCGUUUAGUUUAAUAAAAUUAUCAGGUUUGGUUUCAUAGUUUUACAGAUCAUUAAAAUCAGAUUAAACUGUCAUUAAGGCUCUUAUGGUGGUUUAUAUAUUUAUGGAAUUAUGGAGACAAGUUUGUAUUUGUUUUUUAGGCUCUUAUGGUAGGUUAUAUAUUUGAAUCUACAGUUUCAGACUGAAUUAAACUAAAUUUAAAUUGAUGUUUUGAUUUGGCUUGUCAUUCAACGGAAACAGUUCUGAUUAUUUUUUUGUUAAAUUACAGAUUGAAUAUGACAUCACUAAUGAUUCUUGAUUGGAACUUGUGUUUCAUUUUCUUUAUUAUUAAUUGCAGUUACACUUCAAGUGCCCUAUUUUUAGCAUUUGAAUCACCUUCGCGCUCACCUUGGAACUUGCAUAUCUUCCCUUGGUGAGUUUGCAUGGGGAGCUUGUAGAUUUAAUUAACCGUAAAGUUUCCUGGAAACAAGUAAAACCUGCACCUGAGGAAUUAUUAAACCGACUCCACUACCGCAUGUAGUGAACUCCAGAUCUGAAAAAAAACAAAGAAAAAUGAAAAAAAAACUUUAAAUUAUUAACUCUACAUGCUCGUGCAUCAGCAGUCAUAUUAAAAUACACUGUGACGCAGAUCCAUUAUCAUUUAAAUGAUUUGUCAUUAGUGAAGCAUGCACCAAGUGGUUCUUUUAUAAUUGGGUAAUUUGAUGUUUAAUGCCUUGAUUGCUCCUUAUAGUUGGAUGAGCAUUUAUGUGAUGUAUCAUAUUGGACACUCUCUCUCUCUCAUUCAUUCAUUCAUUGCCUUUCUUUAUGUUUUUUUUUAAUUAGUUUUAGUUUUUUUAUGUCUGUUUGUCAUCUUGCACAUAUAAGAAAAGUUCCUCGAGACCAGGAAGACUUGGCAGUGAGAUUGAAGUGCAAGUAAGCAAUGAAGGGCAGUGUUGUGUUUGGCAGUAACGGAGGGCGUUUGCAAAGGGUAGGGUGGUCCCUUGCCCUUCACCUGACUGCAUGUAACUAGCUGUUGAACGUAGGGAACGUAUUAAAGAAAGGGAAGUCUACCUGAUGCCUGCCUGCCUUCUCUCUCUCUCUCUUUUAUCUGAUGAAGAAAUUUCCAUAUUUGGGAUGUCUUUCAUCACUUUGCCUGGGGAAGGUGGUUUCCUAGUAAUAGGCCAUGAGCGAACCCCUGUAUUUUAUUGUAUACUUGCAUUUGUUUGUAGUUACAGAUAUUGCAGUUGAUUGUCGGAUACCCUUCA